GACAGAGGAUGCAAGCGUUAUCCGGAAUGAUUGGGCGUAAAGCGUCUGUAGGUGGCUUUUUAAGUCCGCCGUCAAAUCCCAGGGCUCAACCCUGGACAGGCGGUGGAAACUACCAAGCUGGAGUACGGUAGGGGCAGAGGGAAUUUCCAGUGGAGCGGUGAAAUGCGUAGAUAUUGGAAAGACCACCGAUGGCGAAGGCACUCUACUGGGCCAUUACUGACACUGAGAGACGAAAGCUAGGGGAGCAAAUGGG
RNAcentral lists this ribosomal RNA (253 nucleotides) under uncultured bacterium. RNAcentral describes it as "partial 16S ribosomal RNA". It matches the Rfam family "Bacterial small subunit ribosomal RNA", at positions 524 to 776 of the family's 1533-position model. The record is from RNAcentral.